RNAcentral lists this ribosomal RNA (472 nucleotides) under uncultured bacterium. Its description in RNAcentral is "partial 16S ribosomal RNA". It matches the Rfam family "Bacterial small subunit ribosomal RNA", at positions 28 to 507 of the family's 1533-position model. The record is from RNAcentral.
GACGAACGCUGGCGGCGUGCUUAACACAUGCAAGUCGAACGCUGAAGCUUGGUGCUUGCACUGGGUGGAUGAGUGGCGAACGGGUGAGUAAUACGUGAGUAACCUGCCCUUGACUCUGGGAUAAGCCUGGGAAACUGGGUCUAAUACUGGAUACGAUAUGUCACCGCAUGGUGGUGUGUGGAAAGGGUUUGAUUGGUUUUGGAUGGGCUCGCGGCCUAUCAGCUUGUUGGUGGGGUAAUGGCUCACCAAGGCGACGACGGGUAGCCGGCCUGAGAGGGUGACCGGCCACACUGGGACUGAGACACGGCCCAGACUCCUACGGGAGGCAGCAGUGGGGAAUAUUGCACAAUGGGCGGAAGCCUGAUGCAGCGACGCCGCGUGAGGGAUGACGGCCUUCGGGUUGUAAACCUCUUUCAGCACGGAAGAAGCGAAAGUGACGGUACGUGCAGAAGAAGCGCCGGCUAACUACGUG